CCUUGUACACACCGCCCGUCACGCCAUGGAAGCCGGUAGCGCCCGAAGUCCGUGACCCAACCGCAAGGAGGGAGCGGCCGAAGGCAAGAUCGGUGACUGGGGCG
This 104-nucleotide ribosomal RNA is filed under the name uncultured bacterium. RNAcentral's name for it is "partial 16S ribosomal RNA". It matches the Rfam family "Bacterial small subunit ribosomal RNA", at positions 1379 to 1482 of the family's 1533-position model. The record is from RNAcentral.